CCUACGGGAGGCAGCAGUGGGGAAUAUUGCGCAAUGGGCGAAAGCCUGACGCAGCGACGCCGCGUGAGGGAUGAAGGUCUUCGGAUCGUAAACCUCUGUCAGCAGGGAAGAACGGUCACUGUGCUAUUAAGCAGUGAAUUGACGGUACCUGCAAAGGAAGCACCGGCUAACUCCGUGCCAGCAGCCGCGGUAAUACGGAGGGUGCGAGCGUUAAUCGGAAUUACUGGGCGUAAAGCGCUCGUAGGCGGUAUGUUAAGUCAAGGGUGAAAUCCCCGCGCUCAACGUGGGAACUGCCUUUGAAACUGGCAGACUGGAGUGUGGGAGAGGAUAGUGGAAUUCCAGGUGUAGGAGUGAAAUGCGUAGAGAUCUGGAGGAACAUCAGUGGCGAAGGCGACUAUCUGGCACAUAACUGACGCUGAGGUGCGAAAGCGUGGGGAGCAAACAGGAUUAGAUACCCCGGUAGUC
This 465-nucleotide ribosomal RNA is filed under the name uncultured bacterium. Its description in RNAcentral is "partial 16S ribosomal RNA". It matches the Rfam family "Bacterial small subunit ribosomal RNA", at positions 338 to 795 of the family's 1533-position model. The record is from RNAcentral.